RNAcentral lists this long non-coding RNA (838 nucleotides) under Gallus gallus (chicken). The record is from RNAcentral. Lineage: Eukaryota; Metazoa; Chordata; Aves; Galliformes; Phasianidae.
GGCGUGUCCGGGGAGCAGCUCUCUGAUUGGUUGAUUCCCAGGUGCUUUUUCUGGGCGCCUCCUUCCUCAUUGGUUCGUGCCCGAGUGCUUUUCUGGGGAGCUCCUUCCUGAUUGGUUGACACUUGGGGUGCUUUUCUGGGGAGCUCCUUCCUGAUUGGUUCGUGCCCGAGUGCAUUUCUGGGGAACUCCUCUCUGAUUGGUUGACGCUGGGGUGCUUUUCUGGGGCGCUCCUUCCUGAUUGGUUGACGUCCAGGAGCUUUUCUGGGCAUCUCCCUUCUGAUUGGUUCGCGCCCAAGUGCGUUUCUGGGGAUCUCCUCUCAGAUUGGCUGAUGUCCGGGUGCUUUUCUGACUGCUUCAUGCUGAUUGGCUGGCUAGUGGGAAGGCCCCUGGGCUCCUCAGCACCGAUUGGAUGAGCCCAGGGGUCCCCGGUGCCGAUUGGCCCGUGGGUAGUAAUUCUGGCUGCUGAUUGGCCGCCGGGUGAGAGGGGUUUCCCCAGGGAAUCCCCAUGCUGAUCCAGUGAUGGGUGGGCGUUCCCUGGGCGUCCCCCGCCUGAUUGGUGCACAGGUGGGCGUUCCCCACUCUCAUUGGUCAGUGGGCGGGUGCUCGUUCGGGCAUCCCCACUCUGAUUGGUCCGUUGAUGGGCAUCUCCUGGGCAUCCCCGCUCCGAUUGGUUCGUGGGUGGGUGCUCCCAGCUCUAAUUGGGCUCUGAUUGGGCAUCUCCCAGGGCGUCCCCUCUGUGAUUGGCUCAGGGAUAGGCACUCCUUGGGCAUCCCCGCUCCGAUUGGUCUGUGGCCGAGCAUCCCCCGCUCCCAUUGGUCCGCGGAUGGGGAUCCCGGGA